RNAcentral lists this transfer RNA (65 nucleotides) under Scolytoplatypus skyliuae. Its description in RNAcentral is "tRNA-Val". Lineage: Eukaryota; Metazoa; Arthropoda; Insecta; Coleoptera; Curculionidae. The record is from RNAcentral.
CAAAUUAUAGCUUAAAUUUAAAAGUGUUUUAUUUACAUUAAAAAGAUUAUAAAAAUAUAAUUUGA